RNAcentral lists this ribosomal RNA (253 nucleotides) under uncultured bacterium. RNAcentral describes it as "partial 16S ribosomal RNA". It matches the Rfam family "Bacterial small subunit ribosomal RNA", at positions 524 to 776 of the family's 1533-position model. The record is from RNAcentral.
UACGUAGGGGGCAAGCGUUGUCCGGAUUUAUUGGGCGUAAAGAGCGUGUAGGCGGUUAGGUAGGUCCGUUGUGAAAACUCGAGGCUCAACCUCGAGCUGUCGGCGGAAACCAUCUGGCUAGAGUCCGGAAGAGGAGAGUGGAAUUCCUGGUGUAGCGGUGAAAUGCGCAGAUAUCAGGAAGAACACCCGUGGCGAAGGCGGCUCUCUGGGACGGUACUGACGCUGAGACGCGAAAGCGUGGGGAGCGAACAGG